Long non-coding RNA from Pipistrellus kuhlii (Kuhl's pipistrelle), 275 nucleotides. RefSeq lists it as uncharacterized. The record is from RefSeq and is a predicted model, not a curated record. NCBI's taxonomy places the organism in Eukaryota, Metazoa, Chordata, Mammalia, Chiroptera, Vespertilionidae. The transcript has 3 exons.
UCUCCACUGAUCCUUAAUCUCUAAGUCUGAUACUAAUAUCUUUAAAGCACCAGAAGCUAUGAAAGAAGUUGCUCCUGAUAUGCAAGUAUCUGAGGAUGUUCUUGAAGAGCCAGAACCUCAGCCUGUGGAAGUGACCGAAGCUCCUCAAGAAGUGGUUCCUGUGAAGAGAGUUCCUUCCAAACAAAGAGAGCCUCCAUCCGUGAAAGCGCCCGAAGCACCUCACGAAAUUCCCCCUGAGAAGAAAGCAUCUGUGGUUCCUCCCAAAAAGCCUAAAG